Long non-coding RNA from Pan paniscus (pygmy chimpanzee), 834 nucleotides. The record is from Ensembl. Lineage: Eukaryota; Metazoa; Chordata; Mammalia; Primates; Hominidae.
UUUGUUCUCUUCAGCUGUUUGUGAUAUUAUCCUUAUUUUUGUUCUUGAUCUUCAGAUCUCCUUCCUCUACCUUUAGUUUGCUGCUUCUAAUCUAAUGGACUUGGGAGAAGCCACUUACGAGAAUGGUAUAUAAGCCAAGAGCAAAUGAACUGAAGUCUGAGGGGCUGGCUAUCCAAACAACAAAAGAUGGAGCAUCAGAUCAUUCACUGAAGAGUUUCUUGCUCUUACAAGGUACACAACUGUGCAACCUCUCUACCUCUUCUCACUCUAGAAAGCAUUUACCUGGAAGCAGUCUGGAGCCACAAACUCUAGAGCCCACAAGAUCCACACAGGGAGUACGAGUGAGUGGAGUGGUCCACGGGAUGGUGGAUGAGUCCUCCCAGAAAGCAAUAUCAGGAGAGCAGCAGCCUCACCUGUGUUUCAAUUGUGUCUUUACUCAGCAACUAGAACAGUGCCAUCUACAUAGUCCAUCAUAAAUAAAUACUGGUUGAAUGAAUGAAUGAAUAAAUAAAUACUCAAAAUUAACUGUUGCAUGGCAAGGAUGAGGACCAAAUGCUGUCCAACUCUUAGAUUUCUUAAGAAAUCUAAGAGAGUUUGUACUUUUAUGUGAAUUGUCUUGCUUUCAAAAGUUGACAACAAAGUAAAAAUGUAAAGACACUGGGCAGGUCAAACAAAAACAUAUCUAAGGGGAAAAUUCCACUCCUAAGCUCCAAUUAGAAACCUCUGCUCUUCGUAAUAGCUUAUGUAAUAUUUUCCCAUUUGCCCUGUAGGAUCACUUUUGUUAUUACACUUUUUUUUUCAUAUGUGCUGUAUAGUAUAAAUAGUAUUGUGCCC